Molecule: long non-coding RNA, 3090 nt
Organism: Quercus robur (English oak)
Lineage: Eukaryota; Viridiplantae; Streptophyta; Magnoliopsida; Fagales; Fagaceae
Exons: 5
Source: RefSeq, a predicted model, not a curated record
GACAUAGAAGAAUAAUUUUUAUUUGGAACAGUGAAGUUUGUUGGACAAGCUCAGAUAUGGUGAUUAGAAGAUCAUUUACAGAUUUGAAUAGAUUAUUAGGACAGUUUAUCCCUUAUGUUAUCACUAUUACUCCAAACAAGAUAAGCACAAGUGGAUAUUAGUAAAAUUAGUGAAAUGGCAAAUGAGAAUGGCAUAAACUAAUCCACCAAUCACUGGAAAAGAAGGAAUCAAUUAGCCAGCAACUAUGCAUCUAUCCAUUUGCACUUAGGUUUUAUAUGUAUGUUAACACCAUGCUGUUGAAUUUUACCAUGAACAAACUUUGUCCUUUUUUCUUUCAAAAUUAUAUUUUUUGGUUGAAUGAAUAAAAAUGCUAUAGAUUUAUCUUUAGUACUUCUUAUCAAGCAGUAGUGAAUCUCUAGGUUUCCUUUACUCAUUUAGGUUUUUGUUUCACGCCCAAAUGGUGGAAAAUUCUCAAGUGUAUUAUGCACUGAAAGCUCAAAGGUACCCAAAGAUGACACUGCUUCUGGUAUUGAAACUUGGGAUUGGAUUUUGAAUGGCGAGAAGUGUACAUACCAUGCUUUGUUUCCAAGGGCUUGGACAACCUAUGAGGGUGAACCUGAUCCAGAGCUUACAAUUGUUUCUCGCCAAAUUUCACCUUUUAUUCCCCACAAUUAUAAGGAGAGCAGUUUCCCAGUAUCAGUAUUUACUUAUACGUUGUCUAAUAAAGGAAGGACUUCUGCAGAUGUCACCUUGGUCUUUACAUGGGCUAAUUCUGUAGGUGGGAACUCUGGAUUUUCUGGUCAUCACUUCAAAUCAAGAUGGUGUAAGAACAAAAUAGUGGACUUUUAUAAAUGUCUGAUUUUUUUAAGUAUAAGUAGGUUCAACUCUAUCUGUCAGGUUAUGUGGCAGGAGUAAACUAAAUUUCUCCCCCAAUUACAUAACUAGACCUUAAAUAUAGUCUACAGACAAGCUCCAAUCAACUAUGUUGUUGAUAAGUAGUAUUAGCCUAUUAGGGACAUAUUAUUAUAGAGCCCUAACGACCGGAGGAAGUCAUGCCUUCACUUGGAAAAGUUUUGGAGGGUGAAAGUUCCUUCUAGAGUAGUUACUGCUGCAGAAGCACCACAUAGUUCUCUUCGAGUCUCCAAACAAUUGACUCAUUGAGUCUCCAGGCUAGGUGAGAGUAACAUCCCUUUUAAUUACAACUUAGUAAAUUUUAAGCUAAUUAAAGAAUUUAAAGCCCAAUUGUUUAAGUGAUUAGCCAAUUGACAAAAGCAUGCAUGGAUAUAAACAUAAAUGGGGAAGUCUUAUUCAUGUGGGGUAAAGAGCAUCACCGCUGUUCUCCUUCACAAGUUGAAGCCCGGCUCUCCAGUGGGCUGUGCACAGCUAUCCAAGAGAGAUGGAGUUAAGUCAUCUUCGAAGGGGAUGCAAAAAUGUGCUUCGACCCCCUGACUCACCCUGAUAUUAUCCCAAGCUGGCCUCUAAGCACAACCAUUAGUAACAUCUGUAGUUUAACUGCUAGUUUCAAGUUUUUAUAAUUUUGUUGGGUCCGGAGGACUUAUAAUUCUGCAGCACAUGAAACUGCAAAAUUUGCUUUGAACUCCAUUCACCCCUUUUGUUUUUCCAAAGGAAAUCUCCCUCCCUCUCUUGAGGCUGUCUGUAAGGGAGAUUCCCCAGUAUGUUCUUCCUUUUUCAUUUUAAUGAAAUUGCAGAUUAUCAAAAAAAAAUAAAUAAUAAUCCAAAUGACAAAGCCAAAAACCCACAAUAACCCCCCAAAGUGUUUAUAAAGAGGAAGACCUGAGAACAAAGCAGAAAAACCUCUCUAAGGCGCCACUACACCAAACAAUCCACUAGAUAAAAUAAUUGCAAUAAAUCAAUACAAAGCCUUCCAAGCUAUGAAGUAGCAAUGUACUUGAGUCCUCCAAGUUUGCAACCAAUUAUUUGAAUUCUUUCUAUUCUCUAGUCACUGGAUUUGCAAUUUGAGCUGCCAACCGCAUGUUUAAGUCUCCUUGAUCACUCCAAGGCCUCUUGUAGAUUCGGGAUUGCUCUCCAAUGAUUUCCAGCACCAACACACGCUAGAAAACUCUGAAGCUUUCAAUGUGCAUGAUGAUUUGAAUAUCCUCUCAUAAAAUUUGGCAAUUUGAGAGGGAGGGGGUAGAGAGAAUGAGAAGGUUUUAGUUUUAGGGUUUUAGGCCUCUCUCUAGCUCUUCAAUAUGGAUAUUUGACUUACAAAUUUUGUGAGAAAUAAAGGUUAUACAGAGAGGCUAAGGGCUAGAACUAUAGAGAAGUUAUGGUCCAUUUGGAUUGAGGAAGGAGGGGGAGUAGAGCAGAGUAGGGUAGAGUAAAUUUAGCCCAAAUUAGCCUAUUAUCAGCCAACUCUACUUUACUCCCCCUCCUUCCCCCCUCCAUCCAAACGAACCCUUAGUAAUUGAUUUCUCUUAGGUUUCAUCAAUUUCAUUCAAGCCAACAUCAGGAUAGUGUCUGGCAAAAUCACUGCCUCAACAACUUUUCAAAACUGAAUCACAUGUCAUUUCAAUUGAUAGUCUUCAUUUUCGCUUAACCAACUCCAGCUUCAAGACUGGUUAUGUUUGUUGAAAAUCUGUUAUCACCGUGGCCAAAUCAAUGGUUAGCGCUAGCUAGUUAGGUUCAGCCCCUAUUUUCAUAUUAUAUUUGAAACAAAUCACACCAAAUUAAUAUAGAUUAAAGAUUUUCUCUCCAUUUUCAUCUUGAGGCGAUGCAACCCCCUUUGAUAAUCAGGUAUUUGUUCUACUUGACUAGCUCUUGAUUUUACUUGCAUUUCUUUUUAAUUUCAUUUUUGGUGACAAAUAAUGUUUAUUUUAAAUUAAUAAAAAAAAAAAUCUAUUAAUAUUGAAAAUGAUUUUUCUUUGUAAAUAUUGAAAAUAAUGUUAAUACUUAUAGAAGAUGAGAAAAAUAAUAAAGGAUUUCUUGCCUUCUUUGAUGCUUAUAAUUCUGUCUGAUUGGGUUUUUUACAGUCACCUCAAUGUUUUCAUCAAGCUUCCCAUAGAUUUACGAAUUAAUACUUCCAAAGGAGGCAUGGAAAAGUUUACAAGUCAAGUUUUGUAGUCAGCCACC